Gallus gallus (chicken) is the source of this 744-nucleotide long non-coding RNA. The record is from Ensembl. NCBI's taxonomy places the organism in Eukaryota, Metazoa, Chordata, Aves, Galliformes, Phasianidae.
CUGCUUCUGACUUAUGAACUUACAAAGUUUGCUAUCCUAUACUUGUUUUCUGCUCCAUCAAAUCUCUUAACCAUGCUCCAGAAUUGACAGCGUUUGAUUCUUUCCUGAAAACAAGUCAUAGGAAGACACAACAGUAAAAUCCCAGGGGUGUCCAAGGUUUAAUUCAGUCUCAGUUUGAGAAGUCUGCCUAAAAGCCCGUGCACCAGGAUGCUUGUGAUGACAUGAGCCCCCAUAAAAGUCUGUGAACGUUUCAGCUGAGGACAGUGCCUUGAAGGUGGUGCGACAGUGCCCAUCACUGUGGCAUGAAAACACCGUUCAGAAUUUAGGAGACCAAAGAAGAAAAUGAAGCUUAAUAAACUGUGUUUCUUUCUCUGCCUGGUACAACUUCUGUAAAGCUCUGCCCCCUGACUCCAAGCUCCUCAGCAUCCACCAGUGGCCAUGGGCUAGAAAAUCCAGAGGACAAGACAAGAAGUCCCUCACCUGCAUGCUGCUGACCAGCAGGGCUCUCCAGCAAGGAGGAAGCAAGGAUCUGACCCCUUUCCUUAGAGACAUUGAUAAUAACUUCCUGGAAAGGCCUUUUAUUCCAGGUUUGCAAACCAGCUUUGAGUAUUAUGGCGUAUUUCCAGUAUCGCAUCACUGAUGGGAUCAGGUCAUGGGGGGAAAAUGGAAUAAUUAAGCUUUUUUUUCCCUUGUCAAAGCAACGGUUCACAUGGAAAUGUCUACGGUCACCGGAAUAAACAUUUC